Non-coding RNA from Podarcis muralis (Common wall lizard), 720 nucleotides. Lineage: Eukaryota; Metazoa; Chordata; Lepidosauria; Squamata; Lacertidae. The record is from RefSeq and is a predicted model, not a curated record.
UUAUAUGGUCACAUUUUCUGACUGUGGUGAGGACAACUUGAUGCAGCUCUCAAAUCACAGCAAAGAUCUCUCAUUUUCACCCAGCUUGUUAGCAUAUGGUUUUUAGCAGCUCUUAAGGCUGCUAAAUCUGUAAGAUGCCUUGAAUCUCAUCUGGGGAAAAGGUGGAAUGACUCUCCCCUGCGGACUGAAAACUGGCUCUGGAGGGUGUGAGAAGAAAGAAAGAAAGAAAGAAAGAAAGAAAGAAAGAAAGAAAGAAAGGUGAUCCUGCUCCAUAGCAACUAAUUAUAACUAUAAUGCACAUAUGGAAAGGCUGUAGCUCAGUGGCAGCACACAGAAAGGUCCCAGGUACAAUCCCUGGAGUUGCAAGGCAUUAUUUAUUAUUGUUUCUUAUUAAGUCUAUAUAACUCUUAGUAACAAUAGGCUCCCAGGCAGUUUACAAAUAAUAAAAACCUAUUACACAAACCAUCCAUAAUUAAGAGAUAAAAUCUAUAUACAAGUUGGGCUGAGAUGGACUCCUGUCUGAAAGCCAGGACAUCUGCUGCCGGUCAGCGUCAACGAUACUGAGCUAGGUGGACAAAUGGGCAGACUCUGCAUGAGGGGUGCUUAGGGAGGAGAAGCAUCGCCAAGAUUUGAAGGCACUUUACUGCACUCUGUCAACUGCAGUUCCUCAAUCACUGAAGUGAAGCACCAGCUUCCAAGGUUGCUGUUCUAACCUGCAUU